RNAcentral lists this ribosomal RNA (397 nucleotides) under uncultured bacterium. RNAcentral's name for it is "partial 16S ribosomal RNA". It matches the Rfam family "Bacterial small subunit ribosomal RNA", at positions 523 to 918 of the family's 1533-position model. The record is from RNAcentral.
AUACGUAGGUGACAAGCGUUAUCCGGAUUUACUGGGCGUAAAGGGCGUGUAGGCGGUCUUGCAAGUCAGAAGUGAAAUUCCUGAGCUCAACUCGGGCGCUGCUUCUGAAACUGCAGGACUUGAGUGCUGGAGGGGAUAGCGGAAUUCCUAGUGGAGCGGUAAAAUGCGCAGAUAUUAGGAAGAACACCGGUGGCGAAGGCGGCUAUCUGGACAGUAACUGACGCUGAGGCGCGAAAGCGGGGGGAGCAAACAGGAUUAGAUACCCGGGUAGUCCACGCCGUAAACGAUGAAUACUAGGUGUAGGGGGUAUCGACUCCCUCUGUGCCGCAGUUAACACAAUAAGUAUUCCGCCUGGGGAGUACGGCCGCAAGGUUGAAACUCAAAGGAAUUGACGGGG